UGGGGUGUAGCUUAAAGGUGAAGCGUCUGGCUGUUAACCAGAAGAGUGUAGGUUCAAGUCCUACCACCUCAGCCA
RNAcentral lists this transfer RNA (75 nucleotides) under Bacillus phage pW2. RNAcentral describes it as "tRNA-Asx". It matches the Rfam family "tRNA". From Rfam's summary of the family: Transfer RNA (tRNA) molecules are approximately 80 nucleotides in length. Their secondary structure includes four short double-helical elements and three loops (D, anti-codon, and T loops). The record is from RNAcentral. Lineage: Duplodnaviria; Heunggongvirae; Uroviricota; Caudoviricetes.